This 444-nucleotide ribosomal RNA is filed under the name uncultured bacterium. RNAcentral's name for it is "bacterial SSU rRNA". It matches the Rfam family "Bacterial small subunit ribosomal RNA", at positions 958 to 1399 of the family's 1533-position model. The record is from RNAcentral.
AACGCGAAGAACCUUACCUGGGCUUGAACUACGGAUGGUAAGUCCUUGGAAACAGGGGCUGACCCGCAAGGGAGUCCGCAGAGGUGCUGCAUGGUUGUCGUCAGCUCGUGUCGUGAGAUGUUGGGUUAAGUCCCGCAACGAGCGCAACCCUCAUCCCUAGUUGCCACCGGGUAAUGCCGAGCACUCUAGUGAAACCGCCCCGGAUAACGGGGAGGAAGGUGGGGAUGACAUCAAGUCCUCAUGGCCCUUACGGGCUGGGCUACACACGUGCUACAAUGGCGGUGACAAUGGGAUGCGAAGGCGCAAGCCCUGGCAAAUCUCAAAAAGCCGUCUCAGUUCGGAUUGGGCUCUGCAACUCGAGCCCAUGAAGUUGGAAUCGCUAGUAAUCGUGGAUCAGCACGCCACGGUGAAUACGUUCCCGGGCCUUGUACACACCGACGCGUA